This 497-nucleotide ribosomal RNA is filed under the name uncultured bacterium. RNAcentral's name for it is "partial 16S ribosomal RNA". It matches the Rfam family "Bacterial small subunit ribosomal RNA", at positions 28 to 507 of the family's 1533-position model. The record is from RNAcentral.
GACGAACGCUGGCGGCGUGCCUAAUACAUGCAAGUCGAGCGAACAGACGAGGAGCUUGCUCCUCUGACGUUAGCGGCGGACGGGUGAGUAACACGUGGAUAACCUACCUAUAAGACUGGGAUAACUUCGGGAAACCGGAGCUAAUACCGGAUAAUAUAUUGAACCGCAUGGUUCAAUAGUGAAAGACGGUUUUGCUGUCACUUAUAGAUGGAUCCGCGCCGCAUUAGCUAGUUGGUAAGGUAACGGCUUACCAAGGCAACGAUGCGUAGCCGACCUGAGAGGGUGAUCGGCCACACUGGAACUGAGACACGGUUCAGACUCCUACGGGAGGCAGCAGUAGGGAAUCUUCCGCAAUGGGCGAAAGCCUGACGGAGCAACGCCGCGUGAGUGAUGAAGGUCUUCGGAUCGUAAAACUCUGUUAUUAGGGAAGAACAAAUGUGUAAGUAACUAUGCACGUCUUGACGGUACCUAAUCAGAAAGCCACGGCUAACUACGUG